UACAGGGGGUGCAAACGUUGCUCGGAAUCAUUGGGCGUAAAGCGCACGUAGGCGGUUCGUUAUGUCGGAUGUGAAAGCCCUUGGCUUAACCGAGGAAGUGCAUCCGAAACUGGCGAGCUAGAGUACGAAAGAGGAUCGCGGAAUUCCCGGUGUAGAGGUGAAAUUCGUAGAUAUCGGAAGGAACACCUGUGGCGAAAGCGGCUCACUGGACCAUUACUGACGCUGAGGCACGAAAGCUAGGGGAGCAAACAGG
Molecule: ribosomal RNA, 253 nt
Filed under: uncultured bacterium
Lineage: Bacteria
Description: partial 16S ribosomal RNA
Rfam family: Bacterial small subunit ribosomal RNA
Source: RNAcentral